Long non-coding RNA from Trematomus bernacchii (emerald rockcod), 271 nucleotides. RefSeq lists it as uncharacterized. Lineage: Eukaryota; Metazoa; Chordata; Actinopteri; Perciformes; Nototheniidae. The record is from RefSeq and is a predicted model, not a curated record. The transcript is spliced from 3 exons.
GGCGUGUCGUGUAGUGUCGUGUACUUGCCGCGGCCGCAGCUGGACCCUUCUCCCCGCAGAAGAACCAGAACCCGGAGCAGCAGCAACAUGGACACGGAGCUGUUAAUGGAGUGUGUGGAAGAGGGGCUGGAGCCAUGGCAACAGGUGGAGGAAGAUGAUGAAGAUGAAGAGGAGGAGUACUGUCAACCAGAGGGCGAAUUUCUGUCUCCUCUCCCAGCCGCUGAGACCCCGCCCCCCCCCAGGCCCACUCCACCUGCCCCCCCUCCGACAG